GACGAACGCUGGCGGCGUGCCUAAUACAUGCAAGUCGAACGCUUCUUUUUCCACCGGAGCUUGCUCCACCGGAAAAAGAGGAGUGGCGAACGGGUGAGUAACACGUGGGUAACCUGCCCAUCAGAAGGGGAUAACACUUGGAAACAGGUGCUAAUACCGUAUAACAAUCGAAACCGCAUGGUUUUGAUUUGAAAGGCGCUUUCGGGUGUCGCUGAUGGAUGGACCCGCGGUGCAUUAGCUAGUUGGUGAGGUAACGGCUCACCAAGGCGACGAUGCAUAGCCGACCUGAGAGGGUGAUCGGCCACAUUGGGACUGAGACACGGCCCAAACUCCUACGGGAGGCAGCAGUAGGGAAUCUUCGGCAAUGGACGAAAGUCUGACCGAGCAACGCCGCGUGAGUGAAGAAGGUUUUCGGAUCGUAAAACUCUGUUGUUAGAGAAGAACAAGGAUGAGAGUAACUGUUCAUCCCUUGACGGUAUCUAACCAGAAAGCCACGGCUAACUACGUGCCAGCAGCCGCGGUAAUACGUAGGUGGCAAGCGUUGUCCGGAUUUAUUGGGCGUAAAGCGAGCGCAGGCGGUUUCUUAAGUCUGAUGUGAAAGCCCCCGGCUCAACCGGGGAGGGUCAUUGGAAACUGGGAGACUUGAGUGCAGAAGAGGAGAGUGGAAUUCCAUGUGUAGCGGUGAAAUGCGUAGAUAUAUGGAGGAACACCAGUGGCGAAGGCGGCUCUCUGGUCUGUAACUGACGCUGAGGCUCGAAAGCGUGGGGAGCAAACAGGAUUAGAUACCCUGGUAGUCCACGCCGUAAACGAUGAGUGCUAAGUGUUGGAGGGUUUCCGCCCUUCAGUGCUGCAGCUAACGCAUUAAGCACUCCGCCUGGGGAGUACGACCGCAAGGUUGAAACUCAAAGGAAUUGACGGGGGCCCGCACAAGCGGUGGAGCAUGUGGUUUAAUUCGAAGCAACGCGAAGAACCUUACCAGGUCUUGACAUCCUUUGACCACUCUAGAGAUAGAGCUUCCCCUUCGGGGGCAAAGUGACAGGUGGUGCAUGGUUGUCGUCAGCUCGUGUCGUGAGAUGUUGGGUUAAGUCCCGCAACGAGCGCAACCCUUAUUGUUAGUUGCCAUCAUUUAGUUGGGCACUCUAGCAAGACUGCCGGUGACAAACCGGAGGAAGGUGGGGAUGACGUCAAAUCAUCAUGCCCCUUAUGACCUGGGCUACACACGUGCUACAAUGGGAAGUACAACGAGUCGCAAAGUCGCGAGGCUAAGCUAAUCUCUUAAAGCUUCUCUCAGUUCGGAUUGUAGGCUGCAACUCGCCUACAUGAAGCCGGAAUCGCUAGUAAUCGCGGAUCAGCACGCCGCGGUGAAUACGUUCCCGGGCCUUGUACACACCGCCCGUCACACCACGAGAGUUUGUAACACCCGAAGUCGGUGAGGUAACCUUUUGGAGCCAGCCGCCUAAGGUGGGAUAGAUGAUUGGGGUG
RNAcentral lists this ribosomal RNA (1482 nucleotides) under Enterococcus hirae. RNAcentral describes it as "16S ribosomal RNA". It matches the Rfam family "Bacterial small subunit ribosomal RNA". RNAcentral also lists the same sequence under 1 other name. Lineage: Bacteria; Bacillati; Bacillota; Bacilli; Lactobacillales; Enterococcaceae. The record is from RNAcentral.